GGGGCUGAUUCUGGAUUCGACGGGAUUUGCGAAACCCAAGGUGCAUGCCGAGGGGCGGUUGGCCUCGUAAAAAGCCGCAAAAAAUAGUCGCAAACGACGAAAACUACGCUUUAGCAGCUUAAUAACCUGCUUAGAGCCCUCUCUCCCUAGCCUCCGCUCUUAGGACGGGGAUCAAGAGAGGUCAAACCCAAAAGAGAUCGCGUGGGAGCCCUGCCUGGGGUUGAAGCGUUAAAACUUAAUCAGGCUAGUUUGUUAGUGGCGUGUCCGUCCGCAGCUGGCAAGCGAAUGUAAAGACUGACUAAGCAUGUAGUACCGAGGAUGUAGGAAUUUCGGACGCGGGUUCAACUCCCGCCAGCUCCACCA
RNAcentral lists this transfer-messenger RNA (363 nucleotides) under Shigella flexneri. It matches the Rfam family "transfer-messenger RNA". Rfam says of the family: Bacterial tmRNA, also known as 10Sa RNA or SsrA, is named for its dual tRNA and mRNA-like properties. Its role is to liberate the mRNA from a stalled ribosome. Lineage: Bacteria; Pseudomonadati; Pseudomonadota; Gammaproteobacteria; Enterobacterales; Enterobacteriaceae. The record is from RNAcentral.